Molecule: ribosomal RNA, 1022 nt
Filed under: uncultured bacterium
Lineage: Bacteria
Description: bacterial SSU rRNA
Rfam family: Bacterial small subunit ribosomal RNA
Source: RNAcentral
GAGUUUGAUCCUGGCUCAGAUUGAACGCUGGCGGCAGGCCUAAGACAUGCAAGUCGAACGGUAACGACACUAGCUUGCUAGUGGUCGACGAGUGGCGGACGGGUGAGUAACGCGUAGGAAUCUACCUAGUAGUGGGGGAUAGCCAAGGGAAACUUUGGGUAAUACCGCAUACGAUCUAAGGAUGAAAGGGGGCCUCUCUUUGAAGCUCUCGCUAUUAGAUGAGCCUGCGUAAGAUUAGCUUGUUGGUGGGGUAAUGGCCCACCAAGGCGACGAUCUUUAGCUGGUCUGAGAGGAUGAUCAGUCACACUGGAACUGAGACACGGUCCAGACUCCUACGGGAGGCAGCAGUCGGGAAUAUUGGACAAUGGGGGAAACCCUGAUCCAGCCAUGCCGCGUGUGUGAAGAAGGCCCUAGGGUUGUAAAGCACUUUUAGUAGUGAGGAAGGCUCAGUAGUUAAUACCUACUGGGAUUGACGUUAGCUACAGAAAAAGCACCGGCUAAUUUCGUGCCAGCAGCCGCGGUAAUACGAAAGGUGCAAGCGUUAAUCGGAAUUACUGGGCGUAAAGCGCGCGUAGGCGGCUUGGUAAGUUGGAUGUGAAAGCCCCGGGCUCAACCUGGGAACUGCAUCCAAAACUGCCUAGCUAGAGUAUGGUAGAGGAUGGCGGAAUUUCCUGUGUAGCGGUGAAAUGCGUAGAUAUAGGAAGGAACAUCAGUGGCGAAGGCGGCCAUCUGGACCAAUACUGACGCUGAGGUGCGAAAGCGUGGGGAGCAAACAGGAUUAGAUACCCUGGUAGUCCACGCCGUAAACGAUGAGAACUAGCCGUUGGACAUCUUGCAUGUUUAGUGGCGCAGCUAACGCGAUAAGUUCUCCGCCUGGGGAGUACGGCCGCAAGGUUAAAACUCAAAUGAAUUGACGGGGGCCCGCACAGCGGUGGAGCAUGGUGGUUUANUCGACGCACGCGAAGAACCUUACCUACACUUGACAUCCUCGGAACUUUCUAGAAGAAUAGAUUGGUGCCUUC